CCUACGGGAGGCAGCAGUGAGGAAUAUUGGUCAAUGGACGAGAGUCUGAACCAGCCAAGUCGCGUGAAGGAUGACUGCCCUAUGGGUUGUAAACUUCUUUUAUAAGGGAAUAAAACGAGGCACGUGUGCCUUUUUGCAUGUACUUGAUGAAUAAGCAUCGGCUAACUCCGUGCCAGCAGCCGCGGUAAUACGGAGGAUCCGAGCGUUAUCCGGAUUUAUUGGGUUUAAAGGGUGCGUAGACGGGUUGUUAAGUCAGUUGUGAAAGUUUGGGGCUCAACCGUAAAAUUGCAGUUGAUACUGGCAGUCUUGAGUACAGUUGAGGUAGGCGGAAUGCGUGGUGUAGCGGUGAAAUGCUUAGAUAUCACGAAGAACCCCGAUUGCGAAGGCAGCUUACUAGACUGUGACUGACAUUGAUGCACGAAAGUGUGGGUAUCAAACAGGAUUAGAUACCCCGGUAGUC
This 460-nucleotide ribosomal RNA is filed under the name uncultured bacterium. RNAcentral describes it as "partial 16S ribosomal RNA". It matches the Rfam family "Bacterial small subunit ribosomal RNA", at positions 338 to 795 of the family's 1533-position model. The record is from RNAcentral.